CUGCAGCCCGAGUGGUGAUCGAUUUUAUUGAGCCUAAAGCGUCCGUAGCCGGACUAGUAAACCCUUGGGUAAAUUGGGCAGCUUAACUGUCCAAAUUCCGAGAGGACUGCUAGUCUUGGGACCGGGAGAGGUCAGAGGUACUCCAGGGGUAGGGGCUAAAUCCGAUAUGCUUUCGUGGCAUUCGGUUAGCAUUCCUGUAAUCCUUGGGGGACCACCAGUGGCGAAGGCGUCUGACUAGAACGGAUCCGACGGUAAGGGACGAAACCCUGGGGCGCGAACCGGAUUAGAUACCCGAGUAGUCC
RNAcentral lists this ribosomal RNA (302 nucleotides) under uncultured archaeon. RNAcentral describes it as "partial 16S ribosomal RNA". It matches the Rfam family "Archaeal small subunit ribosomal RNA", at positions 477 to 747 of the family's 1478-position model. The record is from RNAcentral.